Molecule: non-coding RNA, 28 nt
Filed under: Mus musculus (house mouse)
Lineage: Eukaryota; Metazoa; Chordata; Mammalia; Rodentia; Muridae
Source: RNAcentral
UAUUGACUCCCCAGAUGAACACACAGGU